AUCAAAUGGUCACCCUCUAGGUACAAGGGAGGCUGGAAGAAUGAACAUUUUUGGCUGGGCACACCACUAAACAAAUCCAGGGUUUUGAUGGAAAGGAAGGGGUGGGGAUGGAUUGCAGGUGACAGCUGGUGGUGCCUACCACAAGCUCCAAUACCAAGAUGGGCACUGAAUUCACAGGGAUCUUUUAAAUUUAGUUUCUGGAUUUGAGUGAAAGCAAAUUGGGUUGCCUCAUCCUUCGAAGGAAAAGUGGAUCCAUAGUAUUCUACUGUCAGAAAGGGAAAUAGAGUCACCUUGAAGACAAGAGGUGAGAGAGUGCUGCAGGUCUGGAGGGCCAAGUGGAUAGAAGCUCAGCAUGACCUCCCUCUCUCUGUCUCCCCUUUGUUCACUUUCAUUAGUCCCGUUCACUUGGGCUGGGAGAGCUGGAUCCGGGGAGCUCAUUAAUAGCCUCUGGGUUUGUGUGUGUCUCCACCCGAAGAAGUCUAACCACAGACUUCCUCUUGACUCUUGGCAACAGGGAGAAAACAAAACCACAGCAGCUUUCAUUGCUGAAAAAGACAAAACUGACUCGUUUGCUUAAUAAGCCCAGACGGAGGAACUUUAUUUCUGGGAGGAAGUGCUGAAGACUCCGGUACAGGCCGGGUGCGGUGGCUCACGCCUGUAAUCCUAGCGCUUUGAGAGGCCAAGGCGGAUGGAUCACGAGGUCAGGAGAUCGAGACCAUCCUGGCUAACACAGUGAAACCCCGUCUCUACUAAAAAUACAAAAACAUUAGCCAGGCAUGGUGGCGGGCGUCUGUAGUCCCAGCUACUCGGGAGGCUGAGGCAGGAGAAUGGCGUGAACCCGGGAGGCGGAGCUUGCAGUGAGCCGAGAUCGGGCCACUGCACUCCAGCCUGGGCGACAGAGCGAGACUCGGUCCCAAAAAAAAAAAAAGACUUCAGUACAAGGAGUCGUGGUUGCGCCGUGAAAUUGCCAGACUCUGCGAUGAGACAUCCUGGGUUGACAGUUUAGAGGUUGAGAGAUUGGUGGGAGGAGGCCACGAGUCCAGGGCUCAGUAGGACUACGGGGCAGAAGCCUGUGCUGCAGAUAGGUGGGACUUUGCAAAAUGGAUCUGCUUGGGGAAACUGAGGCCUCCUCCCACCUCCGACAACAUCCAGACCUCUUUUGCCACUUCUGGUUUCCAAAAAUCCAUUUAUGUAUUUAUUUUCCCUUUUUCUUAUUUUCCCUUAUUAAAUUCAUCUAUUGAUUAAUUCCCAUUUCAUACUUUCUUUUUUUGUUUGCUUGUAUUUCUAAUUUCUUACGAUGUAUAGUCAGUGCUUUUAUUUUGGUCUUUCUUCUUUAAUAAGAAAGCCAUUUCAGGCAAUGUAUUUUCCCGUGUUAAGCUUUUUUCAAGAUCUCAUAGGUUUUGAAAUAAAAUGUUCCCCUUUCCAUCGGUUUCUAGAUGGGUUUUAAUUUCAUUUUAAUGUUUCCUUUGAUCCAUGGGUUACCUAGAAGUACGUUUAUUAAUUUCCAAGUAGUUAAAAAUAUUUUCAGCCACAUUAUUGUUUUCUUUUUAAUUUAACAUUAUGGGG
RNAcentral lists this long non-coding RNA (1566 nucleotides) under Homo sapiens (human). RNAcentral describes it as "long non-coding RNA NONHSAT170969.1". The record is from RNAcentral. Lineage: Eukaryota; Metazoa; Chordata; Mammalia; Primates; Hominidae.